UCGUAACGUACAGAAUCUGGGAGCCUC
This 27-nucleotide small RNA is filed under the name Bombyx mori (domestic silkworm). RNAcentral's name for it is "piRNA piR-bmo-1457767". The record is from RNAcentral. Lineage: Eukaryota; Metazoa; Arthropoda; Insecta; Lepidoptera; Bombycidae.